RNAcentral lists this unclassified non-coding RNA (1344 nucleotides) under Hevea brasiliensis (rubber tree). The record is from RNAcentral. Lineage: Eukaryota; Viridiplantae; Streptophyta; Magnoliopsida; Malpighiales; Euphorbiaceae.
AGCGUGUUGGUUUUAGGCAGAAAGCCAAAAUCCCAAACCCAACGCGUCCGAGUCAAAUCGCUCCCCUCCAACUCGUCACCAUCUUCUUCAAAUUUUAUUAAAAAUUUUUUUUUAAAAAUCACUAGCAAACCAUCAUGAAUUGAUCGAUAUACAUCAAGAUCCGGCGUCGUUUUCUCCGAUUAAAUUGGACCUGAACAUUGGUGGAUUUUCCAUUACCGGAGAAGCUGAUAUUGUGAGAAUUGGACAAGCAUGAGUUUUGUGUUUCGAGGGACUAGAGCUGAUUUAGAAAAUGGCUUCCCAGGAUUUGUCCCUGAGCGGCGAGCGGUGCGUGUCCAUACAACGCGGCCUGUUAAUUCCAACUCUCUUGUUUUUCUUGUCACAGUUCUUUUGUUAUUCAUGAUACUGAACUCGCAACAAAUGUCACCUAACUUUAUGCUUUGGUUAGUGCUUGGUGUAUUUUUGAUGGCUACAACUCUAAGAAUGUAUGCAACUUGUCAACAACUUCAAGCUCAGGCUCAAGCCCAUGCUGCCAUGGCCAGUGGUCUUCUUAGUCAUACUGAGUUACGUUUGCAUAUGCCACCAUCCAUAGCACUUGCAACCAGGGGACGUUUACAAGGCCUCAGACUCCAACUUGCACUUCUGGACCGGGAAUUUGAUGACCUAGAUUAUGAGACUUUGAGAGCAUUGGAUUCUGAUAAUGUUCCCACCACUGCAUCCAUGAGCGAGGAAGAAAUAAAUGCUCUUCCAGUUCACAAGUACAAGGUCACUGCUCUUCCAAGUGGUGGCUCUUCAAUGCAACAAGCCUCAUCUUCUGUCUCAGCUGAGCAAAAGAAGCAAGAUACUGCCAAUGCAGUGGGAAGCAUGAAGGCUUCAGAUGAUGAUCUGACUUGCAGUGUGUGCUUGGAGCAAGUUAAUGUUGGAGAACUGAUCCGCACUUUGCCAUGCUUGCAUCAGUUCCAUGCUAAUUGCAUUGAUCCAUGGCUGAGGCAACAAGGAACAUGCCCUGUUUGCAAAUUCAGGGCAGGAUCUGGGUGGCGCGAAGGACAAGGUGGAACUGAUGCUUCUUACAUGGUUUAACUGCAGGCAUUGGCCUAUACAUCAAUGAAAUCAUUCUGAUGAAAAGUACCUGCUUAUAUAGAAGCCUAUUAAUCAAGAUGAAUUGUAAUCAAGAAAACGGCAGGUUGCUGUAUGAUCAGUAUCAUUUGAACUUCUUUUUGAAGAAAAAUGGGGGGAAUAAUAGUUAAUAGCAAAAGUUAAUUGUAGUUCAGAAGCGUACCAAGAAAAUUAUAUUUUUAUAAUGUGUUUUAACAUGUUUAGAUCUUUUUUUUUUGAAAAAAUAAAAAG